Molecule: ribosomal RNA, 476 nt
Filed under: uncultured Desulfobulbus sp.
Lineage: Bacteria; Pseudomonadati; Thermodesulfobacteriota; Desulfobulbia; Desulfobulbales; Desulfobulbaceae
Description: bacterial SSU rRNA
Rfam family: Bacterial small subunit ribosomal RNA
Source: RNAcentral
UGACGGGCCGCACAAGCGGUGAGUAUGUGGUUUAAUCGAUGCAACGCGAAGAACCUUACCUGGUCUUGACAUCCCGGAGACCCUUAGGAAACUAGGGGGUGCCUUCCAUCUGGAAGAAUCUGGAGACAGGGUGCUGCAUGGCUGUCGUCAGCUCGUGUCGUGAGAUGUUGGGUUAAGUCCCCGCAACGAGCGCAACCCCUUGCCUUUAGUUGCCAGCAGUUCGGCUGGGCACUCUAAAGGGACUGCCGGUGUUAAACCGGAGGAAGGUGGGGAUGACGUCAAGUCCUCAUGGCCUUUAUGACCAGGGCUACACACGUACUACAAUGGCCGAUACAAAGGGCAGCGACACUGCGAGGUGAAGCCAAUCCCGUAAAAUCGGUCUCAGUCCGGAUUGGAGUCUGCAACUCGACUCCAUGAAGUUGGAAUCGCUAGUAAUCGUGGAUCAGCAUGCCACGGUGAAUACGUUCCCGGGCCUU